GGAGGCGGGGGGGGCGGCCGGGCCCGGGGGUGCGGGGCCGGGCCCGGGCCCGGGGCUGCUCGGCAAAGCGGGGCGGGCCCGGGGCUCCCCGCUUGCGCCCGGCGCGGUUCUGCGGCACCGGCUGCCGUCGGGCCCCCCCGCGGAACCCGCGCGUCCCGCCGACAGAGCGAAAGCGAGCGGUUCUCCUCCUCAGGGUGCUGAUGCCCUGCGAGCCUCGCCUGCCUCCGGACAGCACCCCCGGGAAGCCGAGCCAGCUGCGCAGGGAGGAAAAACCAAAACGCUUGGACCGAGUGUGGAACAGCUGUGGCCUGCUCGUUCACUGAGCUGAAGAGGAAACACAUCACUUCGUGGCAGCACCAGCUGAGCACUAGCAUGAAGUGGUGACCGAAGCACGACUGCAUCAUCACCCAGUCAACCGCCCCUGGAAGGUUAAUGUCUGUGGCAAGAAAAACGAUGUCUUCUCCCUGAA
This is a long non-coding RNA of Tyto alba (common barn owl), 469 nucleotides long. RefSeq lists it as uncharacterized. Lineage: Eukaryota; Metazoa; Chordata; Aves; Strigiformes; Tytonidae. The transcript is spliced from 3 exons. The record is from RefSeq and is a predicted model, not a curated record.